This 381-nucleotide ribosomal RNA is filed under the name Triticum aestivum (bread wheat). RNAcentral's name for it is "partial small subunit ribosomal RNA". The record is from RNAcentral. Lineage: Eukaryota; Viridiplantae; Streptophyta; Magnoliopsida; Poales; Poaceae.
AUGCAUACGAGCAAGAAUAUCCUACGAGUAGCAAAUUCUAAGUAUUCUCCACAUCAGAUUCACACGGACAAGUGCCAGAAUACAUCAAAUUCAGAUCCACUUAAAAUGCAUCAAGAAAGCAACACACACGUUGCUAGCAUGGGCAUCCUAGAACCACCAAGAAGUUGCAGCGAUGCAACAAAACCAAAUGUGUACAGGGCCCCUGUCACAGCCAGCAAGCAUACUAGAGGCAGCAACAUUGCGACGAGGACGGGCAUGCCAACGCGCUGUUGGCGGGGUCCAAAAGCAGAGGCCGACUUGGGCAGGAGCAGCUACGCGGCUGGGCCGAGAGUCAUUGUCGAACCUGCUGCUGGGGCGGCACACACCGGUAGAUGGAUCUAG